ACAGGACACGUUUUGCAGUUUUUACGUGUAUCCGAUGGUUUUCGAGAGGGAUGCCUGGUCCACAGAAACGUGGGCACCCUGUAUUUGUUUCUAUAAUUAUCUGAAUCAUGUCAUCAUUAAAAGACAGAAAGGAGGCAUCAAGUGGUCUGAAGAACUAUUUAUAUCUUUUGAUCAAAUUCAAGAUCUUUCUUCAGAAAAUUUAAUAUUUCUGGAAGAAUUUGCUUGCACUCAUAGCAAUAUCUGUUAUUACUGGUAUUAUUAUAAUCAUCAAUAUCAUCAUUGCAAUCACCACCAUCAUCAUCUUUGCUUUCUAAUAUAAUUUUCUUUUCUACAAUA
Molecule: long non-coding RNA, 336 nt
Filed under: Androctonus crassicauda
Lineage: Eukaryota; Metazoa; Arthropoda; Arachnida; Scorpiones; Buthidae
Source: RNAcentral